GCUCAUUUCGGCAGCAUAUACUAAAAUUGGAAGGAUACAGAGAAGAUUAGCAUGGCCCCUGUGCAAGGAAUUCCUGAAGAGUUCCAUAUUAUA
Molecule: small nuclear RNA, 93 nt
Filed under: Castor canadensis (American beaver)
Lineage: Eukaryota; Metazoa; Chordata; Mammalia; Rodentia; Castoridae
Source: RNAcentral